AUUAUGUGUUCAAAUGUUUAUUAUAAAAUAACUAUUGUCUCAAACAAUACUACUUUUAAGGCAUAAUGUAGUAUAGGUAAUCAGUGGAAAAAUAAAAAGAAUUUGAAAAAUUUUCAUAAAAAAAUAUUCAAUUGCAUUUGCUACUGCAUCCGCUCACGGUAAAAAGAUUUCGUGACAAUCUUACUAAAAAAUGCAUUAUUUCGAAUUUUGUUAUUUAUUCUGAUAUUUUUUAUGUUUAAACCAUAGCUACUACUGCAAUAAAGAAGGCUGUAAACUAAAAUCGACAUUGGAGCACAAGAAUACCUAGUGAUCCAAUAACCGCUCACGAGGUCUUGUGUUUUCAAUAUAAAGAAUUAUUUUAUCAAAUGAAAAUAAUGUCAGACGACUUCAUUUGAAAGUUAUACAUAUUGCUAGCAUAUAUCCGUGAGAAAAAUAUUGGUUUUUGACACGAAAAAUCAAUUUUUACACAGGUGAGCGGAUACUGGUGCACUGGGUAUUACCAAAUUGGAACUUUUAAAAACUUUUGGAAAAUUUCUAAUUUUAAAAUUAAAACUAAAUCAGAUUUGUGUAAAAAGCAGCUGGCGGUAUCGCGAAUUGUAUGUAGUUUAUUAAAAAAAUAUUCAGUGGCCAUAUUAUAUUGAGUUAUGGUCUAAAACAGGAGUAAUCAUACGAUAAAAGGAUGAGAUGGAAAAUGUACGAAAAUCAAUGCAGUAUAAUUACUUCACAUAGAUUAAAAAAAAAACUAGAUAUGCUUCAAGCUGCUGGUUUGUAAUUUUCAAUAAAAAAAUAAUCAAAGCAUGGACCACUAUCAUUCAUAUCGUUAUAUGCAUGUUUUAUACAAACCAACGAUUUUUAAAUAUGCACAAAAAAAGAGUUCGUGGACGACAUUCGACUACAUACGGAGAAAGACUGUUAGUGACUGAAUCCGCGCAGGCGUGCAUUGUUGUAACAAGAUAUGAUUAUAAAAUAGAUUUUUUAUUUGUCAUGUGUUUUGCAGGUUGGUUCUUUUGGUGUCUUUUUGCAAAAGAGAAAAAAAUCCUAUUUAUGUACCAUGCUUUUUUAACAUUCUUCGGAACGCUUCGAGCACAUAAACCACUCAUACAAAUUCGUUCAAGUAAUCACUCUAUACGCAUACACAGCAAGUGAAAAAAAAAACAACUAAGAAGGAGGUUUUGUUUCUGCUUGUCCAUUCGACAGAGCCGCUAAAGGUGUAAAAAAGAAAUCACAGUGUUCACUACGACAUUUAAUUAAGGGCUAAACAUCCAGAUCUUUCCCCAACUUUGCAAAACAUCAGUGAGGUUCCAGGAAAAUCCAGUACUUAUGACACACCAUACGCGAGCAGAAAAAUGCAAUACCAAGUAGAAGCCGGUUGCGCGAUACGAAAUCCACUGUUUGAAAA
Molecule: long non-coding RNA, 1399 nt
Organism: Aedes aegypti (yellow fever mosquito)
Lineage: Eukaryota; Metazoa; Arthropoda; Insecta; Diptera; Culicidae
Exons: 2
Source: RefSeq, a predicted model, not a curated record